This 377-nucleotide ribosomal RNA is filed under the name uncultured organism. RNAcentral describes it as "partial 16S ribosomal RNA". It matches the Rfam family "Bacterial small subunit ribosomal RNA", at positions 527 to 896 of the family's 1533-position model. The record is from RNAcentral.
GAACCGUCCAAACGUUAUUCGGGAAUCACUGGGGCUUAAAGGGUGCGUAGGCGGCUUGGCAAGUUGGGUGUGAAAUCCCUCGGGCUCAACCGGGGGGAACUGCGCUCAAAACUGCCUAGCUAGAGGGAGAUAGAGGUGAGCGGAACUAAUGGUGGAGCGGUGAAAUGCGUUGAUAUCAUUAGGAACACCUGUGGCGAAAGCGGCUCACUGGAUCUUUUCUGACGCUGAGGCACGAAAGCUAGGGUAGCGAACGGGAUUAGAUACCCCGGUAGUCCUAGCUGUAAACGAUGAGCACUAGGUUGGAGGCUCCUCCAUAGGCUUCCGACCGAAGCGAAAGUGUUAAGUGCUCCGCCUGGGGAGUAUGGUCGCAAAGGCUG